This is a long non-coding RNA of Pseudopipra pipra, 2394 nucleotides long. RefSeq lists it as uncharacterized. The record is from RefSeq and is a predicted model, not a curated record. NCBI's taxonomy places the organism in Eukaryota, Metazoa, Chordata, Aves, Passeriformes, Pipridae. The transcript is spliced from 3 exons.
UUGUGAUUCUUUGGAACAGGUUGGGUUGGGAGGGAAUUUAAAGCCCACCCAGUUCCACUCUCUGCCAUUGGCAGGGGCACCUUCCACUAGCCCAGGUUGCUUCAACCUGGCCUUGGACACUUCCAGGGAUCCAGGGGCAGCCACAACUUCUCUGGGCAAUCUGUGCCAGGGCCUCCCCACCCUCCCAACCAGGAAUUCCUUCCCAAUAUCCCACCUAACCCUGCCCUCUGGCAGUGGGAAGCCAUUCCCCCUUGUCCUGGCACUCCAUCCCUUGUCCAAAGUCCCUCUCCAGUCACCUCCUAGAUCAUCUUUAGGUACUGGAUGGCACUUAGAUACUUUUGUAAUAAACACCCAGGAGGAAAAGGAAUCUUUAUUUAAUUAGAAUAAGAAUGUUAAGAAUGUGCAAUAAGUUGUACUUUGUUCGUGGGUUUUGGUGCAAGAAAAUGAACCCAAAGUGUUAAUGCAAGAUAUAAAGGUUGUUUGUUUUGGUGUUUUUUUUUUUUCCUGCAUUGCUGUUUCCCUGGCCUUGGACACUUCCAGGGAUGGGGCAGUUACAGCUGCUCUGGGCAACCUGGGCCAGGGCCUCCCCACCCUCACAACCCACAAUCCCUUCCCAAUAUCCCAUCUAACCCUACUCCCUGUCACUUUGAAACAAUUCCCCCUUAUCCUGUCACUCCAUCCCUUCUAAACACUCUCUCUCCAGCUUUCCUGGCUGCCCCUUCAGGUCCUUCAGGGCCCCACUCAGUCACCCCAAAGCUUCUCUGCUCCAGCCUGAACAAUCCCAACACCCAAACAUCACACACCCCAAAACAUCUCUGUGAGGAGGGGUCAUUUUAUUCUUUCAUUACUAUAAGAAGUGAAUAGAAGCAAAUGGCAUCAGUCCAAAUCCAGCCUGAUGGGAAAUCGAGAACUGGGGGUUUAAUCCACUUGCUCACAUUCCUUCAUCCACCUGCCUGAGACCUGAACUGAACUUCCAGCCAAGGGUUUUAGGCAGCUCAUUGCAGAUUUCUCCUCUUUUCCCCACUGUUCUCUAGCAUGUUUUCCACAAACACAAAUCAACUUUGUGUGUCCAUAAACCUGUGCACAAAUACACACAUCUCCAUGGGAAUAUAGAGAUGAGAGAGUCAAGAUUAACUGCUUGUAAUAAGUUCAAAAUUCAAACAUUUCCUUUGGACACUGUGGACAUUUUGAGAUGGAAAACUUUAUGAGGAAAACAACAGAUCUUUCCAGCUGGAAUUAAAUCAAAAUUUACCUUUCUCUUUCCCAGGCUGAACAAUCCCAACUCCCUCAACCUUUUCCUCACGGCAGAGCUGCUCCAUCCCUCUGAUAUCCUGGUGUCCCUUUCCUCUCCAUAUUCUGUAUAAUGCAUUACUGCAGCGUAAAAAUAAUGUUUCCCCCUCUACAUUUAUUGCAGAAAUGAUGAAUUGUGUUUUCCAGCUUUCCCUAAGUGGAAGUUGCCUUGGAAAAUGAGCAUUUGAAAGCCUGGUGUGAGGUAGACCCUGUCAGUGCACAUUAACGACGGGCUCUGCUGUUUGAUGGAAUUAUCUUGGAUGCUGUUUGAGGAGAGGAUUCCCACACUGACCCACUGCAGCUCUCGCUGUCCCAAAGGAGAUUUUGAGGGGACAAGAGGAGGAGGAAACUCCUGACAAAGGCUUCAAGGAAGGACAUGGCAGAACAUGGCAACUGCAGUCCUGCAAUUCCCAACAUCCAGAGCUCUGUGAGAUGAUGGAAGCCCUGGAGAUCCAGUGGCAGAAAUGGUGAUCACUCCAAUUCCAGGGCUGAGGUGUCUGUGUCAAUCACAUCAAGCUUUGAGAUCUAUGGACUUGGAAAGGAUGUCCUGGAGAAGGGAAUUUCUGUGGAUGAAAGGAUGAACCCUGAUGGGAGCAAAACCUUCCACUUCUUCAGGGGGUUUUGUGCCAGUGGAACUGGGGGAAAAAAAAUCAUCUGGCCAGUGGGAUGUGGAGCAAAUUGGUUGUGAUGGGGUGUGUGAAAGACAUGAGCUUUCAUUGGAGGGAAUAAACGAAAAAUCAGAGAUCAUUUCUCCACCUGGAAUGGAAAACUCUCUCUCACGAGACUUCAAAGGGAGCAACGAGAUGAGAUUGUUCUACCAAAACUGGGGGGAUUCAUUAAUGGGAAAAAUAUCCCUAAUUCCCUGCUUGCCAGGGAAAAGUAUCUACAAGUUCCCUGCUUGCCACAGGUGACAGGCAAAAUUGCAUUUAUAUUUUAAUUCAUGACAGGGAAUUGCUACUAAGCACCUUCUAUUUGUAAACCUGAUUUAGCAGUGACUUGUGCUUUGGGAAGCAGAUGGUUCUUGCCUGUUAGUUGGAGCACCUUUGGGGAAUUGUGCCUUCCAGGAGAGGAAAAAUAGUCAUAAUAAACUGGUGUCAUCUUUAA